RNAcentral lists this ribosomal RNA (425 nucleotides) under uncultured bacterium. RNAcentral's name for it is "partial 16S ribosomal RNA". It matches the Rfam family "Bacterial small subunit ribosomal RNA", at positions 354 to 796 of the family's 1533-position model. The record is from RNAcentral.
GUGGGGAAUCUUGCGCAAUGGGCGAAAGCCUGACGCAGCCAUGGCGCGUGAAUGAUGAAGGUCUUAGGAUUGUAAAAUUCUUUCACCGGGGACGAUAAUGACGGUACCCGGAGAAGAAGCUCCGGCUAACUUCGUGCCAGCAGCCGCGGUAAUACGAAGGGGGCUAGCGUUGCUCGGAUUUACUGGGCGUAAAGGGCGCGUAGGCGGACAUUUAAGUCAGGGGUGAAAUCCCGGGGCUCAACCUCGGAACUGCCUUUGAUACUGGGUGUCUUGAGUAUGAGAGAGGUGUGUGGAACUCCGAGUGUAGAGGUGAAAUUCGUAGAUAUUCGGAAGAACACCAGUGGCGAAGGCGACACACUGGCUCAUUACUGACGCUGAGGCGCGAAAGCGUGGGGAGCAAACAGGAUUAGAAACCCCGGUAGUCC